Molecule: long non-coding RNA, 1656 nt
Organism: Gopherus flavomarginatus (Mexican gopher tortoise)
Lineage: Eukaryota; Metazoa; Chordata; Testudines; Testudinidae
Exons: 3
Source: RefSeq, a predicted model, not a curated record
UGUCUGUCUCUCUCACCUUUCCUUGUGCCAUCAGCCUUCUGAGGACAUGGGUGGGGUGCUCAGUGUGCAUCCCCACAGGCUAGGUCUUGGGAGCCAUGGAGAAGGAAGAGCAGAGAAAACUCAUGAGGGGCAGUGGGUGCUGAAGUGGAGCAGUGACUGUUUACUCAUCUCUGUUCAUUGAGUUAGCCUCAGGUAGAUGACAAGGGACAGGAAGGAAGGGAUGAGGGCAAGAUUUCAUGCACGAAUAGAACUUGUACUGAUGGCUUAUGCAUGGGUUUUGCAGGUGCACUUGCAGAGGAAGUGUCCAGGAGCCCCAGGCCAGGAAGAAGCUGGCAGAAGUGGACUUGAUCAGCCUGAGCAUCCUUCUAAGCAGACAUGAACAGUCCUCUCCUUUUUGAAUCCUGCUUAACUUGCUGUGGUACCAGAGGAAAAGAAAUCCUGAACGAGAGUCCACUGCCGUCAUGCAAUGGAAAUUGAGCGAGAGUGAUGGGACCGCAGGAAAUUAUUGCUACCAUGAAAAAGCCAUUCAACUGGGAGUGAAACAACCGCCACUCUCAAUGAGAUAAGUGUCUGCUUUGGUGAUUGCUCUGUUUUUGAGUAGCUGUAGUUAUGAGGGAGACAAGGUCCCCAUUUUCAGGGACUGCUCAGUUCUCUGGCCAGUAGCAGUGUGUCCUCUGCAGCAGAUGGUUGGAUCCAGGAGGAUGACUGCAGGUGGUGAGUUGCUUGCCUUCCACCUGUGUUUUUCACUCUGUCUCUCUCUGUUCUCUAGUAAGUUGGCCAACACACAUCCUCUCUCUAUCCUUACCUUUCCUUCUGCCAUCUCCCUUCUUAGGACACAGGCAGGGGUGCUAGGUGUGCAUCCCCACAGGUUAGGUCUUGGGAGCCCUGGAGGAGUAGGAGGGGAAGGGGCAGUGGGUGCUGAAGUGGAGCAGUGACUGUUGGUGUUAACUCGUUCUCUGUUCGAGUGGCGCCAAUGUAGAUGGGAUGGAAGAGGGAGGCAGGAUUGAGGGCAAGAUUGCACACACCAAUAGGGCUUUGUGUCAUGAUGGCUCAUGCUUGGCUUUUGCAGGUGUUCCUGCAGAGGAAUUGUCCAGGAUCCCCAGCCGGAGGAGAGACUGCCAGAAAUGGAUCUGAGCAGCCUGGACUUCCUUCUAAGUAUACAUGAACAGUCCUCAGCUUUCUGAAUUCUGAAUAACUGGCUGAGAGUCAGAGUACCAAGAAAAAAGAAGACACAUGUCAGUCUAGUGCCCUCAUGUGAUGGACAGUGAUGAAGAGGGAUGGGACCUUGAGAAUUAUUCGAUGGCACAAAAAAGCCGUCCAUCUGGGAGUGGAACAGACACCACUGUCUCUGAGAUAAGUGUUCGUUUUGCUGAGGGUUCUUCUCAAGGCGCACCUGGCUCCAGAUAGAGACGCCCUGUUAGCUGGGCCUGGGUUUGUAUUAAAAAAAAAAAAAAUUCCUGAACAGCUGUGGUUACAAGGGAGACAAGGUCCCCCUUUUCGGGGCUGGUCAUUUCUCUGUUCAAAAGCAGCGUGUCCUCUGCAGCAGAAGGUUGGAUCCAGGGAGAUGGCUCCAGCUGGUGAGUUUCUUGCCUUGCUCCCAUGUUUCUCUUGCUGUCUGUCUCUUCUCUAGUGUGUUGGCCAACACUCUUUCUCUCU